Non-coding RNA from Pelobates cultripes (western spadefoot toad), 276 nucleotides. The record is from the annotation of a GenBank genome assembly. Lineage: Eukaryota; Metazoa; Chordata; Amphibia; Anura; Pelobatidae.
CUGGAAGGUAAGUAACACAGCCAUUAACACAGCCAGGUCCUGGAAGGUAAGUAACACAGCCAGGUCCUGGAAGGUAAGUAACACGGCCAGUAACACAGCCAGGUCCUGGAAGGUAAGUAACAGCCAGGUCCUGGAAGGUAAGUAACACAGCCAUUAACACAGCCAGGUCCUGGAAGGUAAGUAACACAGUAACACAGCAAGGUCCUGGAAGGUCAGUAACACAGCCAUUAACACAGCCAGGUCCUGGAAGGUAAGUAACACAGCCAGUAACACAGC